Molecule: ribosomal RNA, 469 nt
Filed under: uncultured bacterium
Lineage: Bacteria
Description: partial 16S ribosomal RNA
Rfam family: Bacterial small subunit ribosomal RNA
Source: RNAcentral
GGACGACCGCUGGCGGCGUGCUUAACACAUGCAAGUCGAACGGAAAGGCCCUGCUUUUGUGGGGUGCUCGAGUGGCGAACGGGUGAGUAACACGUGAGUAACCUGCCCUUGACUUUGGGAUAACUUCAGGAAACUGGGGCUAAUACCGGAUAGGAGCUCCUGCUGCAUGGUGGGGGUUGGAAAGUUUCGGCGGUUGGGGAUGGACUCGCGGCUUAUCAGCUUGUUGGUGGGGUAGUGGCUUACCAAGGCUUUGACGGGUAGCCGACCUGAGAGGGUGACCGGCCACAUUGGGACUGAGAUACGGCCCAGACUCCUACGGGAGGCAGCAGUGGGGAAUAUUGCACAAUGGGCGGAAGCCUGAUGCAGCAACGCCGCGUGCGGGAUGACGGCCUUCGGGUUGUAAACCGCUUUCGCCUGUGACGAAGCGUGAGUGACGGUAAUGGGUAAAGAAGCACCGGCUAACUACGUG